GGCAACCCUGACGGAGCAAUACCGCGUGCGGGAGGACGGCCUGUGGGUUGUAAACCGCUUUUCUCAGGGAAGAAGACCUGACGGUACCUGAGGAAUCAGCAUCGGCUAACUCCGUGCCAGCAGCCGCGGUAAUACGGGGGAUGCAAGCGUUAUCCGGAAUUAUUGGGCGUAAAGAGUCCGUAGGUGGUUCAUCCAGUCUGCUGUUAAAGCGUGCAGCUCAACUGCAUAUAGGCAGUGGAAACUGUUGAACUAGAGUAUGGUAGGGGUAGGGGGAAUUCCCAGUGUAGCGGUGAAAUGCGUAGAUAUUGGGAAGAACACCGGUGGCGAAAGCGCUCUACUGGGCCACAUCUGACACUGAUGGACGAAAGCUAGGGUAGCG
This 379-nucleotide ribosomal RNA is filed under the name uncultured cyanobacterium. Its description in RNAcentral is "bacterial SSU rRNA". It matches the Rfam family "Bacterial small subunit ribosomal RNA", at positions 376 to 770 of the family's 1533-position model. Lineage: Bacteria; Bacillati; Cyanobacteriota. The record is from RNAcentral.